GAAGGUUAUGCCGAAACCGUCCUAGCGGCGGCCGGCAGCCCUCCCAUCAUUCACCUUGUGCACGUAUCGAAAUCUUGCUUGGCAGCACUCUUCGGGCUUUUUUGGGUCUGGAGGGUCUGCCAGAGAGAAGUUUCUAAUCAUGCCAUGACUUUGCCUGAUCUUUAUACAAAUAACAAAUGAAA
RNAcentral lists this unclassified non-coding RNA (182 nucleotides) under soil metagenome. RNAcentral's name for it is "partial internal transcribed spacer 1". The record is from RNAcentral.